RNAcentral lists this microRNA (22 nucleotides) under Homo sapiens (human). Its description in RNAcentral is "hsa-miR-4513". The record is from miRBase by way of RNAcentral. Lineage: Eukaryota; Metazoa; Chordata; Mammalia; Primates; Hominidae.
AGACUGACGGCUGGAGGCCCAU